Molecule: RNA transcript, 1297 nt
Organism: Pieris brassicae (large cabbage white)
Lineage: Eukaryota; Metazoa; Arthropoda; Insecta; Lepidoptera; Pieridae
Gene name: traB domain-containing protein-like
Exons: 9
Source: RefSeq, a predicted model, not a curated record
AGUAAAAGCGACUGGGGCAUGAGUCGAAUAGACUGAAAUCAACAAUGGAUUGGAUUUAAGUUUUCGGGAUAUAAAUCAAAAUUUUCUGUAAAUAAAAUGUUUAGGUCGUACAAAAUUAAGUAAAUAGUAUAUAAAAACAUGAUAUAAAAAAUGAGAUACCAAACAUGUAUUACACUCAGGAACCUUUUGACGUUUACUAAAUUACAUGGAGUCCAACAAAAUGGCAAUAACCGGUUGCUGCCCAGUAUCGUUCGGAAAUAUAGCAAAACAUCAAACCUUAACUUGCCACAAUCAGCCACCUUAUUGCAAAACGAUUCCCAAGGCACCGUCGUUUUACUUGGAACUGUUCAUUUUAGUAAACAAUCAGUGGAGGAUGUGUCUCAGAUAGUAAAAGGGCUUGAUCCAAAUGGAAUAAUGAUUGAGCUCUGCCGGCAAAGAGUAUCUCUUCUAGAAUUAGACGACAAAAAAUUCUUAGAAGACGCGAAAAACUUUGAUGCGAAGAAAAUAAGACAAGCAGUAAAGGGUCAAAAUUUCGUGUCUGGGAUGUUGCAUGCUAUGUUGUUGAAGACUUAUGCCGACAUUGCCAAAGAAUUAGGAGUCGCUCCUGGCGGGGAAUUCAGAAGAGCAUAUCAUGAGAUGAAAAAUAUACCUGGCUGCAAGUUAUUCCUUGGUGAUAGACCAAUACAAAUCACGAUUGCAAGGGCUUUUCAAUCGCUGAGUGUUAUAGAACUGGGUCAGGUCUUGUAUCACUUGACCAACGCCAAACCAAAACCAAUUGAUAAACAGCAAUUAGAAAAAUACAAAGACCGAGAUUUUGUGCACGCGCAAUUUGAAGAGAUUACUCGAGAUGUGCCAGCUUUUAAAAAAAUAUUUCACGUCUUUGUCGAUGAAAGGGACAAAUGUCUUGCGUAUUCGUUGCAAGAGUGCGUGCGUACUGUUGAAAAACCUCGCGUUUUAGCGGUAGUAGGGAUGGGACACGUUGACGGCAUUAUUAAAUAUUACGGAAAAAUGAAACAGGAAGAUAUCGUACCCUUAUUAUUUGAAUAAUCUUUGAGUCACAUCUUCCACGAGGUGAGAAAACUAUUGCUGUUUCUUUUUAUUGAUGCUUCAAUCAAAAGUACACGGCUGUGUAUAUGAAUGUACCUAUAAUUAUUGUCCACACAAAGGUUUAGGGUCCCUCCCACACCUGUGCAUAGGAUAAUUCUGAGGACUGGCUUAAAAUUCUCAUUUUAUUUCUUGAUAUUUUCACUUUUGUACCGAUUAAUAUUUGGUUAAAAUAAAUGUGUUGUUUUAAAUA